This 253-nucleotide ribosomal RNA is filed under the name uncultured bacterium. RNAcentral describes it as "partial 16S ribosomal RNA". It matches the Rfam family "Bacterial small subunit ribosomal RNA", at positions 524 to 776 of the family's 1533-position model. The record is from RNAcentral.
GACGUAGGGCGCGAGCGUUGUCCGGAUUUAUUGGGCGUAAAGAGCUCGUAGGCGGCUUGUCGCGUCGAAUGUGAAAACUCGGGGCUCAACUCCGAGCUUGCAUUCGAUACGGGCAGGCUAGAGUUCGGUAGGGGAGACUGGAAUUCCUGGUGUAGCGGUGAAAUGCGCAGAUAUCAGGAGGAAUACCGGUGGCGAAGGCGGGUCUCUGGGCCGAUACUGACGCUGAGGAGCGAAAGCGUGGGGAGCGAACAGG